CACGUCACAGGGCUUUAGAUGUGAGUAGCUGCUCUGCUCUAUAUAAAAACAAAAUACUCAGAUUUGUCAAAUACACUUCGAUAUGUACACAUAUAUAUACACAAACAAUGGCUUCUGACUGUGCGCCUGUGGGUGUGUGUGAAUCAUCAAAUGCACGAAUAUUGUAUAAGAAGUUGUCAACGGCAAACAACUCUGGCAAAAAGGAAAAAAGGCUGUGGUUAAAGAAAAUGCAUUAACGGAGCUGCAAACGGCGCCCACUUGAGCCUAUCUGGCCGCCACUUAGAACAACCAGGCGGGAAUGCCCCUCAAGUGAUCUUGCUGCCACUUGGUUGGGCUUGAAAGCUGGCAAGUUGAAGUGAGGCGUGCAAAAAGUGGCCAAAGAAGCACUUGUCAAAUGGGCACACACAAACACUCUAUAAAGCAGGAAAACACCUCAUAGCCGAUGCUCGUCUAUAUAUAACUGCAUAGCAGGCGCGCCUGUGUGUGCGAGUGUGCGUGUGUAUCUGUGUGAUCAUAACAAUUUUGACCCAAUUUUGUAGCGAGGCACGAAACAUGAAACACAAAGAAGAUCAAGCGAGCGAGUGAUUUCUGUUUAGGAUAGACAACAACUCCUGCCCCUCCUCCUGCUGCUGCUUCUGCGCCCGUGUCAUCACUGACCUCAGUGCAACUGUAAAACGAUGGGCAAUGAGCCGGAAACGUGGGACAGGUGUGCCAUAAGUUUUCGAUAAAUGUUGGAUACUAUCACAAAAGUGUAUUUACCAAUUUAUUUGAGCAUACGAUUGUUGUGUACCUCGAUUUUGAUAAAAUAGUCUUGUGCUAACUAUU
Drosophila virilis is the source of this 825-nucleotide non-coding RNA. NCBI's taxonomy places the organism in Eukaryota, Metazoa, Arthropoda, Insecta, Diptera, Drosophilidae. The record is from RefSeq and is a predicted model, not a curated record.